GUAGGGCGGGACACGUGGUAUCCUGUCUGAAUAUGGGGGGACCAUCCUCCAAGGCUAAAUACUCCUGACUGACCGAUAGUGAACCAGUACCGUGAGGGAAAGGCGAAAAGAACCCCGGCGAGGGGAGUGAAAAAGAACCUGAAACCGUGUACGUACAAGCAGUAGGAGCCCACUUGUUGGGUGACUGCGUACCUUUUGUAUAAUGGGUCAGCGACUUAUAUUCUGUAGCAAGGUUAACCGUAUAGGGGAGCCGCAGGGAAACCGAGUCUUAACUGGGCGUUAAGUUGCAGGGUAUAGACCCGAAACCCGGUGAUCUAGCCAUGGGCAGGUUGAAGGUUGGGUAACACUAACUGGAGGACCGAACCGACUAAUGUUGAAAAAUUAGCGGAUGACUUGUGGCUGGGGGUGAAAGGCCAAUCAAACCGGGAGAUAGCUGGUUCUCCCCGAAAGCUAUUUAGGUAGCGCCUCGUGAACUCAUCUUCGGGGGUAGAGCACUGUUUCGGCUAGGGGGUCAUCCCGACUUACCAACCCGAUGCAAACUACGAAUACCGAAGAAUGUUAUCACGGGAGACACACGGCGGGUGCUAACGUCCGUCGUGAAGAGGGAAACAACCCAGACCGCCAGCUAAGGUCCCAAAGUCAUGGUUAAGUGGGAAACGAUGUGGGAAGGCCCAGACAGCCAGGAUGUUGGCUUAGAAGCAGCCAUCAUUUAAAGAAAGCGUAAUAGCUCACUGGUCGAGUCGGCCUGCGCGGAAGAUGUAACGGGGCUAAACCAUGCACCGAAGCUGCGGCAGCGACACUAUGUGUUGUUGGGUAGGGGAGCGUUCUGUAAGCCGUUGAAGGUGGCCUGUGAGGGUUGCUGGAGGUAUCAGAAGUGCGAAUGCUGACAUAAGUAACGAUAAUGCGGGUGAAAAACCCGCACGCCGGAAGACCAAGGGUUCCUGUCCAACGUUAAUCGGGGCAGGGUGAGU
Molecule: ribosomal RNA, 971 nt
Filed under: Klebsiella michiganensis
Lineage: Bacteria; Pseudomonadati; Pseudomonadota; Gammaproteobacteria; Enterobacterales; Enterobacteriaceae
Description: partial 23S ribosomal RNA
Rfam family: Bacterial large subunit ribosomal RNA
Source: RNAcentral